AUUGAACGCUGGCGGCAGGCCUAACACAUGCAAGUCGAGCGGAUGAAGGGAGCUUGCUCCUGGAUUCAGCGGCGGACGGGUGAGUAAUGCCUAGGAAUCUGCCUGGUAGUGGGGGAUAACGUCCGGAAACGGGCGCUAAUACCGCAUACGUCCUGAGGGAGAAAGUGGGGGAUCUUCGGACCUCACGCCAUCAGAUGAGCCUAGGUCGGAUUAGCUAGUUGGUGGGGUAAAGGCCUACCAAGGCGACGAUCCGUAACCGGUCUGAGAGGAUGAUCAGUCACACUGGAACUGAGACACGGUCCAGACUCCUACGGGAGGCAGCAGUGGGGAAUAUUGGACAAUGGGCGAAAGCCUGAUCCAGCCAUGCCGCGUGUGUGAAGAAGGUCUUCGGAUUGUAAAGCACUUUAAGUUGGGAGGAAGGGCAGUAAGUUAAUACCUUGCUGUUUUGACGUUACCAACAGAAUAAGCACCGGCUAACUUCGUG
This 484-nucleotide ribosomal RNA is filed under the name uncultured bacterium. RNAcentral describes it as "partial 16S ribosomal RNA". It matches the Rfam family "Bacterial small subunit ribosomal RNA", at positions 30 to 507 of the family's 1533-position model. The record is from RNAcentral.